UGGUAGUNCACGCCGUAAACGAUGAGUGCUAGGUGUUAGGCCCUUUCCGGGGCUUAGUGCCGGAGCUAACGCAAUAAGCACUCCGCCUGGGGAGUACGACCGCAAGGUUGAAACUCAAAGGAAUUGACGGGGGCCCGCACAAGCGGUGGAGCAUGUGGUUUAAUUCGAAGCAACGCGAAGAACCUUACCAGGUCUUGACAUCCCGAUGCUAUUCUUAGAGAUAGGAAGUUACUUCGGUACAUCGGAGACAGGUGGUGCAUGGUUGUCGUCAGCUCGUGUCGUGAGAUGUUGGGUUAAGUCCCGCAACGAGCGCAACCCUUAUUGUUAGUUGCCAUCAUUAAGUUGGGCACUCUAGCGAGACUGCCGGUAAUAAACCGGAGGAAGGUGGGGAUGACGUCAAAUCAUCAUGCCCCUUAUGACCUGGGCUACACACGUGCUACAAUGGUCGGUACAACGAGUUGCGAGCCGGUGACGGCAAGCUAAUCUCUGAAAGCCGAUCUCAGUUCGGAUUGGAGGCUGCAACUCGCCUCCAUGAAGUCGGAAUCGCUAGUAAUCGCGGAUCAGCACGCCGCGGUGAAUACGUUCCCGGGCCUUGU
Molecule: ribosomal RNA, 596 nt
Filed under: uncultured bacterium
Lineage: Bacteria
Description: bacterial SSU rRNA
Rfam family: Bacterial small subunit ribosomal RNA
Source: RNAcentral